RNAcentral lists this ribosomal RNA (460 nucleotides) under uncultured bacterium. RNAcentral's name for it is "partial 16S ribosomal RNA". It matches the Rfam family "Bacterial small subunit ribosomal RNA", at positions 338 to 795 of the family's 1533-position model. The record is from RNAcentral.
CCUAGGGGUGGCAGCAGUGAGGACUAUUGGUCAAUGGGCGCGAGCCUGAACCAGCCAAGUCGCGUGAAGGAUGACUGCCCUACGGGUUGUAAACUUCUUUUAUAAAGGAAUAAAACGAGGCACGUGUGCCUUUUUGCAUUUACUUUAUGAAUAAGGAUCGGCUCACUCCGUGCCAGCAGCCGCGGUAAUACGGAGGAUCCGAGCGUUAUCCGGAUUUAUUUGGUUUAAAGGGAGCGUAGAUGGGUUGUUAAGUCAGUUGUGAAAGUUUGCGGCCCAACCGUAAAAUUGCAAUUGAUACUGGCAGUCUUGAGUACAGUUGAGGUAGGCGGAAUUCGUGGUGUAGCGGUGAAAUGCUUAGAUAUCACGAAGAACCCCGAUUGCGAAGGCAGCUUACUAAACUGUGACUGACAUUGAUGCUCGAAAGUGUGGGUAUCAAACAGGAUUAGAUACCCUGGUAGUC